ACUCCUACGGGAGGCAGCAGUGGGGAAUAUUGCACAAUGGAGGAAACUCUGAUGCAGCAACGCCGCGUGGAGGAUGACGCAUUUCGGUGUGUAAACUCCUUUUAUAUAGGAAGAUAAUGACGGUACUAUAUGAAUAAGCACCGGCUAACUCCGUGCCAGCAGCCGCGGUAAUACGGAGGGUGCAAGCGUUACUCGGAAUCACUGGGCGUAAAGCGCAUGCAGGCGGUCCAAUAAGUUAGAAGUGAAAUCCUAUGGCUCAACCAUAGAACUGCUUCUAAAACUAUUAGACUGGAGUCUGGGAGGGGAAGAUGGAAUUAGUAGUGUAGGGGUAAAAUCCGUAGAGAUUACUAGGAAUACCAAAAGCGAAGGCGAUCUUCUGGAACAGUACUGACGCUGAGAUGCGAAAGCGUGGGGAGCAAACAGGAUUAGAUACCCUGGUAGUCCACGCAGUAAACGAUGAAUGUUAGUCGUUGGGUCUCUAGUAGAUUCGGUGAUGCAGUUAACACAUUAAACAUUCCGCCUGGGGAGUACGGUCGCAAGAUUAAAACUCAAAGGAAUAGACGGGGACCCGCACAAGUGGUGGAGCAUGUGGUUUAAUUCGAAGAUACGCGAAGAACCUUACCUAGCCUUGACAUUGAGAGAAUCCGACAGAGAUGUUGGAGUGCCUUCGGGAGCUUGAAAACAGGUGCUGCACGGCUGUCGUCAGCUCGUGUCGUGAGAUGUUGGGUUAAGUCCCGCAACGAGCGCAACCCUCGUUCUUAGUUACUAACGAUUCGGUCGAGGACUCUAAGAAGACUGCCUUCGCAAGGAGGAGGAAGGUGAGGACGACGUCAAGUCAUCAUGGGCCCUUACGGCUAGGGCAACGCACGUGCUACAAUGGUUAGGACAAUGAGAAGCAAUACUGCGAGGUGGAGCAAU
This 918-nucleotide ribosomal RNA is filed under the name uncultured Campylobacterota bacterium. RNAcentral describes it as "bacterial SSU rRNA". It matches the Rfam family "Bacterial small subunit ribosomal RNA", at positions 335 to 1271 of the family's 1533-position model. Lineage: Bacteria; Pseudomonadati; Campylobacterota. The record is from RNAcentral.